GGAAUCACUGGGCGUAAAGGACGCGUAGGCGGAUUAUCAAGUCUCUUGUGAAAUCCUAUGGCUUAACCAUAGAACUGCUUGGGAAACUGAUAAUCUAGAGUGAGGGAGAGGCAGAUGGAAUUGGUGGUGUAGGGGUAAAAUCCGUAGAGAUCACCAGGAAUACCCAUUGCGAAGGCGAUCUGCUGGAACUCAACUGACGCUAAUGCGUGAAAGCGUGGGGAGCAAACAGGAUUAGAUACCCUGGUAGUCCACGCCCUAAACGAUGUAUACUAGUUGUUGCUAAGCUAGUCUUGGCAGUAAUGCACCUAACGGAUUAAGUAUACCGCCUGGGGAGUACGGUCGCAAGAUUAAAACUCAAAGGAAUAGACGGGGACCCGCACAAGCGGUGGAGCAUGUGGUUUAAUUCGAAGAUACGCGAAGAACCUUACCCGGACUUGAUAUC
RNAcentral lists this ribosomal RNA (442 nucleotides) under uncultured bacterium. Its description in RNAcentral is "bacterial SSU rRNA". It matches the Rfam family "Bacterial small subunit ribosomal RNA", at positions 547 to 988 of the family's 1533-position model. The record is from RNAcentral.